This 449-nucleotide ribosomal RNA is filed under the name uncultured bacterium. Its description in RNAcentral is "partial 16S ribosomal RNA". It matches the Rfam family "Bacterial small subunit ribosomal RNA", at positions 29 to 523 of the family's 1533-position model. The record is from RNAcentral.
AACGAACGCUGGCGGCAGGCCUAACACAUGCAAGUCGAACGCUGUAGCAAUACAGAGUGGCAGACGGGUGAGUAACGCGUGGGAACCUUCCCAAUGGUACGGAAUAGCCCAGGGAAACUUGGGGUAAUACCGUAUACGCCCCUAGGGGGAAAGAUUUAUCGCCAUUGGAUGGGCCCGCGUCGGAUUAGCUAGUUGGUGAGGUAAUGGCUCACCAAGGCAACGAUCCGUAGCUGGUUUGAGAGAAUGACCAGCCACACUGGGACUGAGACACGGCCCAGACUCCUACGGGAGGCAGCAGUGGGGAAUCUUGGACAAUGGGCGCAAGCCUGAUCCAGCCAUGCCGCGUGAGUGACGAAGGCCUUAGGGUUGUAAAGCUCUUUUGCCGGGGACGAUAAUGACGGUACCCGGAGAAUAAGUCCCGGCUAACUUCGUGCCAGCCGCCGCCGUAA